UACAGAGGUGGCAAGCGUUCUUCGGAAUUACUGGGCGUAAAGGGCGCGUAGGCGGCCAUCUAAGUCAGACGUGAAAUCCCCCGGCUUAACCUGGGAACUGCGUCUGAUACUGGACGGCUUGAGUAUGGGAGAGGGAUGUAGAAUUCCAGGUGUAGCGGUGAAAUGCGUUGAUAUCUGGAGGAAUACCGGUGGCGAAGGCGGCAUCCUGGACCAUUACUGACGCUGAGGCGCGAAAGCUAGGGGAGCAAACGGG
RNAcentral lists this ribosomal RNA (253 nucleotides) under uncultured bacterium. RNAcentral describes it as "partial 16S ribosomal RNA". It matches the Rfam family "Bacterial small subunit ribosomal RNA", at positions 524 to 776 of the family's 1533-position model. The record is from RNAcentral.